UUCUUCCUUUAAAUGAGAAACUGCUUUUCUGAAAUGAUACAACGAUGUGAGGAUUGAACAAAUAGUUUUGACACUUGCAAUUCCGAGCUCAAAAAUGUACCAGGGCGACUGAGAAUAAACUGCGCAUUAAAUUCAAGGCAGCGUCAUUGAUUCAGAUUCUAGAGUUUUUAGAAAGAGAAUAUUCAUUCCUAUUCUGGCCUCACUCGAGUUUCAAAGCAGCAUCCGGUCUCAACCAGGCCUUUCCACACUGAACCAAAGCAUGCAGUCCCUCUAAAUAGAUUUUUUUUUUCUGCUUUCGGCACAAUGACCUCACAGUUCCUGUUGCCGUGGUUGCAGCAGGACAGAUCGGACCUCCCUCUUUGUCAAGUGCUAUGAAGUUGUGCAGACGCUGGAGGGAGUCCUAACGUAAAUGUUGACAGGAAUACUGCGGUGACUCGGAACGUCUGAACCGAGUGAGUCUCCUCCAAGUGCGUCUGCCUCGGCCUCAACCCGACCGCGGGCGCGUCUCGUGUGUGUGGACUGUCGGACUGCAGCAUCUACUGCCGAGUGGGAGGAAAACAGCAAGCGACGGCGUUAUGUUUUCAUCCACCGGCGCUUCCAAGCUCACGUCAGAAGCCUGAGCCACACCGCCCCCUAUCGUCUCAAGAAAAUACGGCACAAACAAUCAUGGACUCCCAGGAGCUUGCUGGUUCCUCACCAACCAAGGCUCACAGAAACACGAGACCGGCGUUCAAGAAAUGCCUCGAGCGUCCUAGAGCGGGGAAACGACGUCCACACCUUUUCGCAGCUGCGUGCAACGGCAUCUCCGACGCGCAGCCCCAACGAAGGGAGCGCUUGGCCGUAUUGGUUAACUUAGCACACAUCCCCUACUGACCAUAGGAAUAAACUGUACA
This is a long non-coding RNA of Hippocampus comes (tiger tail seahorse), 893 nucleotides long. RefSeq lists it as uncharacterized. The transcript is spliced from 4 exons. Lineage: Eukaryota; Metazoa; Chordata; Actinopteri; Syngnathiformes; Syngnathidae. The record is from RefSeq and is a predicted model, not a curated record.